UACGUAGGGGGCAAGCGUUGUCCGGAAUCAUUGGGCGUAAAGCGCGCGUAGGCGGCCCUGUAAGUCCGCUGUGAAAGUCGAGGGCUCAACCCUCGAAUGCCGGUGGAUACUGUCGGGCUUGAGUACGGGAGAGGCGAGUGGAAUUCCUGGUGUAGCGGUGAAAUGCGCAGAUAUCAGGAGGAACACCGAUUGCGAAGGCAGCUCGCUGGAACGUUACUGACGCUGAGACGCGAAAGCGUGGGGAGCAAACAGG
RNAcentral lists this ribosomal RNA (253 nucleotides) under uncultured bacterium. Its description in RNAcentral is "partial 16S ribosomal RNA". It matches the Rfam family "Bacterial small subunit ribosomal RNA", at positions 524 to 776 of the family's 1533-position model. The record is from RNAcentral.